Molecule: ribosomal RNA, 935 nt
Filed under: Anthocoptes japonicae
Lineage: Eukaryota; Metazoa; Arthropoda; Arachnida; Trombidiformes; Eriophyidae
Description: partial 28S ribosomal RNA
Rfam family: Eukaryotic large subunit ribosomal RNA
Source: RNAcentral
AAAUAGAACUUUGCAGAGAGAGUUAAGAGGGCGUGAACCGUUAUUGAGUAACGAAUCGGAGCCACGAAGUCGUUUCGUUGUUCAGUUGGUUGGGGUUCAAUGGGCGACCACCAGGUCGCUCGUGUAUUCUCGCGACUGACCAUUGUAAGCGUACACUGCAACCAGUUAGACGAUUGGCCAUGGGCCCAGUUGCAGGCCGGCCCUUAAAAGCCGUCCUGUAGCGAAGCAUUUGUUUGCUCAAACUAGUAGUAGCAUGGUGCAUCUAGGUGCAUUCUUGUUGCUGGGUUUGUGGCGAGUGAGCUAUGGCCAAAUACUGACUGGCAAAAUGAAAAUCGCAUGCAUAUGCGUACUACAGAAUGCGACCGGCUACAUGCGUGUCUACGCCAUGGACUAUCAGGUUUAAGCUUGGCAUUUUUGAAUUCAGACUUGCUUGCUACCAGUGGGGCAACUCCUGGUGCUUGUAUAGCUUCUGUCUAAUCGGGUGUCGACUUGAUCUAAUAUCGUUCCAGGGCGAAGCGAUUGGGCGCGCACGUAGGCUGGCCAGCAAUUAUUGGCAGUGAGUAGGUCGGCUUUCCGAACGACCCGUCUUGAAACACGGACCAAGGAGUCUAAUUAGGCAUCGAGUCGAUCGGUCUUGAAUAGGCCAGACGUGGCGGUUUCAAACACCGUCCGAUUGAAGGCGAAGAGAAAUCAAAUCGUGUGAUCGUGGUAGGCAACAACAGCCUCCUCGCGCAACAUGUGCCUGUUCGUAUGGCAAUUGUCAGCAAUGACUUGCCGAGCGGAGCAAAGAGAUGCCUGAUUGGUACCCGAAAGAUGGUGAACUAUGCCUGGGCAAAUUGAAGCCAGAGGAAACUCUGGUGGAGGAUUGUAGCGAUUCUGACGUGCAAAUCGAUCGUCAGACCUGGGUAUAGGGGCGAAAGACUAAUCGAACCAUC